Molecule: non-coding RNA, 93 nt
Organism: Ceratobasidium sp. 423
Lineage: Eukaryota; Fungi; Basidiomycota; Agaricomycetes; Cantharellales; Ceratobasidiaceae
Source: the annotation of a GenBank genome assembly
ACGUUGAUGGUGAAAUGGUUAUCAUUCUUGCCUUCUAUAUGUACGUAAUAACUACGUAAGCAAGGGGUGCGAGCUUAAUUCUUGCUCAACGUA